AGAUGGAGUGUUGCUCUGCCACCAGGCUGAGUGCAGUGGCACAAUCUUGGCUCACCACAAGCUCUGCCUCCCGGGUUCAAGCGAUUCUCCUGCCUUAGCCUCCCAAGUAGUUGGGACUAUAGGCGCGCGCCACAACACCUGGCUAAUUUUUGUAUUUUUAGUAGAGACGGGGUUUCACCAUGUUGCCGAAGAUGGUCUCGAUCUCCUGACCUCACGAUCCACCCACCUCGGUCUCCCAAAGUGCUAGGAUUACAGGCGUGAGCCACUGCGCCCGGCCUCAGCUAUUUCUUUAUAGCAAUGUGAAAACUAAUACAGAGGCCCAGGUAGGAGGAUCGCCUUGAGGGCAGGAGUUCAAGACCAGCCUCGGCAACACAGCUAGACCCCACGUCCACAAAACAAAAAAAAUAGCCAGGCAUGGUGGCACAUGCCUGUAGUCCUAGCUACCUGGGAGGCUGAGGUGGAAGGAUCACUUGAGCCCAGGAAUUCAAGGUUGUAGUGAGCUAUGAUCAUAUCACUGCACUUCAGCCUGGGCGACAGAACAAAAACUCUGCGACUGCCUGUGGCUGUGCAGCCAACCUGCUCAGAAGGAGCUGGGUGGCCCACUGUGCGAACCCCGCCGGCUCCACAUGGCAGGUGAAAUGCACUGGUUUAGAACUUCUGAUGUCUUUCAAACCACUCUAGCCAGUAUAGCCCCAGUAUUUACCAUGACAAAAUUUGACAGAGAAAUGUUACUUCUUUUGAAAGGAAGAAAACUGAGUUAUACCAAGAGUUAGGUCUUCAAGCCAGAGAUUUGAGAUUUCACUAUGUAAUGAGUAUCACAGCCAGAAAUAAUAUGAUUAUCAUGAGAAUGGAGUAUUUGAAAGCUGAGAUAACUCCAGAGUGUCUUCUGAUAUUAGAUUAUCAUAAUUUAAACUCACAGCGAUGGCUGUUCCGGGAACUCUCUUCACAAUUGUCUGGAGAGGGUCAACUUGUUAGAAACCCUUUAAUUUUUUGAGUUUAGAGCUAUAGAAGCACUCCUGCAAUACUGGAUCAACACCCUUCAGGGGAAACUUAGCCUUUUCCAGCCACUGAUCCUCAAGACGCUGGAAGCUUUGGUGGACCCCAAACAUUCUUCUAUAGACAGAAGCAAACUCCACAUUUUACUACAGAAUGGCAAAAGUCUAUUAGAGUUAGAAACAGAUAUUAAAAUUUUCAGAGUCAAUUUUGGAGAUCCUGGAUGAGAAAGAGUUGCUAGAAGAGCUCUAUCAAAAUGGAGUGACCCCCGAGUCUUUGAAAAGAGCAGUACUGGGACUGACCAUGCAGAGGAGAUAGAGUUGCUGAUGGAAAACUACUACCGACUAGCUGACGAUGUCUCCAAUGCAGCUUAGGAGCUUACGGUACUGACUGAUGAUUCACAAAGUAUUAUUUUCAUCAAUCUGGACAGCCACUGUAACGUGAUAAUGAAGUUGAAUCUACAGCUGACCAUAAGAACCUUCUCUCUUUCGCUCUUUGGAGUAAUGGAAGUUGCUUUUGGAAUGAGUUUGGAAUCUUCCCUUGAAGAGGCCCAUGGAGUGUUUUGACUGAUUACAGGAAUUAUGUUCAUGGGAAGUGGCUCAGCUGGAGGCGCCUGCUUUCAUUCCUUGGACAACAGCUAGAAGCUCCAUUGCCUCCUAUGAUAGCCUCCUUACCUAAAAAGAUUCUUCUGGCAGAUAGAAGCGUGGAACAAAGAACAGUCUCAGACCUGAUGCACUUGGAUCAGGCAGGAGUAUCCUAACAAACCAUGAGGAACAACCCUAUGGACACUGAAGUUUUUUGUUUUUUUUUUGUUUUUUUUUUUUUUUAUAAUCACAGUUAACUUCUGAUACUUUUAUUAUUUUCUUGUAUGGAGUCAGACACUUGAAAAAAAUUAAUAUCUGAUGACAAAAUAUUUUGGCAGUCACAAUACUAGAACUUGAUUGCAUUUCCAGAAUUCUGAGUUAAAGAAACAAAGUGUUUGCUUUGUAACAGGCCAAAAUUCUAUUUCCUGCAAACUUUAAAUGCUGUUUUUAUAGACAUGAUGUGAGGCAACAGAAGAACAGACAGUUGUAUAGAUUUUAUUUAAUUUAUACAUAACAAGAAAAGUAUAAUUUCAGGCUGAAUGAAGCCUAGGAGCUUGACAAACCCAUAGGAAGCCAUAGUUCUUUGUUACCACAGGGAAUUACGUCCAAGUGAAUUUCCUGAUUCUCAGGUGACUAAAAAGCUAGCACUCUAUGUAUUAACCUUAAAACAAACUCUGAAAGUUUAUGCUUUAAAAAACAAACUUUGACAUAACAUUAUUUUCUUAGAUUUGGCCCCCCUUUUAUAUAAGAUGAAUAAAAAUAAAUAAUUUUUUUAAAAAGACCCAAAUGAACUUGUAUUAAAAGGAUUUGUAUCCAGAAUAUAAAAUCCAGGACAUAAAAAGAACACUAAAAACUCAGUGACAAAAAAACACAGUUUGAAAAAAAAUAAGCAGAAGAUUUAAACAGACACUUCAUCAAAGAAGAUACAAGGACAGCAAAUAAGCACAUGGAAAAAUACUCAACACCAUUAGUCAUUACAGAAAUGUAAACUGAAACCAUAAUGAAACACUAUUACACACCUAUUAGAAUGGCUAAAAUUAAAAUGACUGACAUUAAAUAUGGGCAAAAAUAUGAAGCAACUGGAACUUUCAUACACUGCCAGUGGAAAUAUAAAA
Homo sapiens (human) is the source of this 2692-nucleotide RNA transcript. It is a transcript of the gene named MRS2 pseudogene 2, with no coding region annotated. The transcript has a single exon. The record is from RefSeq and is marked validated. Lineage: Eukaryota; Metazoa; Chordata; Mammalia; Primates; Hominidae.